GGCUCGGUCGAGAGGCUGGCCCGUGGGCGUAGCGGAUCCUCGCUAUCGGCUGGAGUGUCCCGUUGUCGUGGUUCUGGUCGUCUGGUGUUAGCGCCCCCUGGUGGGAGUUAACCUUGGCGAUCGGGGUCGGACCCUCCCCUCCCCCUUUUUCCCCGUCUUCGGGGUCUCUGGGGCCGUUUUUCCAUAAGCACUUUGAGGAACAUGAAUGUGAAGACUGAGCUUGGGGGUUUUUGUGUUGCCAUUACUGGUGAUGCAGCCCGAGUCGAAAACUAAAAUAACGACUCUCAGCAACGGAUAUCUUGGCUCUUGCAACGAUGAAGAACGCAGCGAAAUGCGAUACCUAGUGUGAAUUGCAGAAUUCCGCGAAUCAUCGAGUUUUUGAACGCAAGUUGUGCCCGAGGGUUUUCCCAAGGGUAUGCCUGCCUGAGCGUCACCGCACUCCCACCUGGGCACUGUCCAGUGUGGAAUUGGCCGUCCGGGUCCCAAGGUAGAAGCUUUGGGUCGUGGUUGGCUGAAAUGUAGCUAUCUGGGCGCAGCCGAAGGGAGGCCGCGAGAAGGUGAUCUGCUCUUGACGGAGCAGAGUCUAAUUGGACAGUGUCCUUCUCUUUUGGUGGUCUAGAUGGGGGCACUCAAGAGUGCCAUUGGGGGGGACUGCAAGUAAUGUUGCAUGUCCCCUCUCUUACAGCUUGGACCUCAGAUCAGGCAAGAUUACCCGCUGAGUUUAAGCAUAUCACUAAA
Molecule: ribosomal RNA, 738 nt
Filed under: Plagiochila sp. NSW880506
Lineage: Eukaryota; Viridiplantae; Streptophyta; Jungermanniopsida; Jungermanniales; Plagiochilaceae
Description: eukaryotic LSU rRNA
Rfam family: 5.8S ribosomal RNA (bases 280-433)
Source: RNAcentral